This 23-nucleotide ribosomal RNA is filed under the name Sporothrix cryptarchum. Its description in RNAcentral is "partial 28S ribosomal RNA". Lineage: Eukaryota; Fungi; Ascomycota; Sordariomycetes; Ophiostomatales; Ophiostomataceae. The record is from RNAcentral. RNAcentral also lists the same sequence under 1 other name.
UGACCUCGGAUCAGGUAGGACUA